CCUACGGGAGGCUGCAGUGAGGAAUAUUGGUCAAUGGCCGUAAGCCUGAACCAGCCAAGUCGCGUGAAGGAAGAAGGCUCUAUGGUUUGUAAACUUCUUUUAUCGGGGAGUAAAGGUAUCCACGUGUGGAUCUUUGCAUGUACCCUAUGAAUAAGCAUCGGCUAACUCCGUUCCAGCAGCCGCGGUAAUACGGAGGAUGCGAGCGUUAUCCGGAUUUAUUGGGUUUAAAGGGUGCGUAGGCGGGCGGAUCAGUUAGAGGUGAAAUCCCGCGGCUCAACUUCGGAAUUGCCUCUGAUACUGUGAGGAUAGAGAGUAGGUGCGGUAGGCGGAAUGUAUGGUGUAGCGGUGAAAUGCUUAGAGAUCAUACAGAACACCGAUUGCGAAGGCAGCUUACCAAGCUACGUCUGACGUUGAGGCACGAAAGCGUGGGGAGCAAACAGGAUUAGAUACCCCAGUAGUC
RNAcentral lists this ribosomal RNA (460 nucleotides) under uncultured bacterium. Its description in RNAcentral is "partial 16S ribosomal RNA". It matches the Rfam family "Bacterial small subunit ribosomal RNA", at positions 338 to 795 of the family's 1533-position model. The record is from RNAcentral.